CACACGCACACACAUACACAACAAAGAUUUCAAUCUCAGAACACUCACUACAAGCAGCCCAAGCUCGUUAACUGGGAUUAUUUUAUAAAAAUAUGUUUCUAAUCUUUAUUAUUAUUAUUACAUAGUGGAUUAUUUCCCUAAAACAGGUUGAAAAGGAUGACAUUAUUUCACAUCCACUAGAAAAAAGACAACUUUUCUUUGUACAUCCUCACACAAACCUGAAAUAUUACCAACUAAAAAGGUUUAGUACCUAAAUUUCAUAAUUCAUGCUUCAGCUUUAAGGACAUAAAGUUACAGCUUUGCUGACCAACAGCAAACAAUUAUUGUUAGUUUUAUUGUCUUUAUACACCACUCAACAUUACAUAACUCUU
Poecilia latipinna (sailfin molly) is the source of this 371-nucleotide long non-coding RNA. RefSeq lists it as uncharacterized. The record is from RefSeq and is a predicted model, not a curated record. NCBI's taxonomy places the organism in Eukaryota, Metazoa, Chordata, Actinopteri, Cyprinodontiformes, Poeciliidae. The transcript has 3 exons.